GUGGGGAAUAUUGGACAAUGGGCGAAAGCCUGAUCCAGCAAUGCCGCGUGAGUGAUGAAGGCCUUAGGGUUGUAAAGCUCUUUUACCCGGGAUGAUAAUGACAGUACCGGGAGAAUAAGCUCCGGCUAACUCCGUGCCAGCAGCCGCGGUAAUACGGAGGGAGCUAGCGUUGUUCGGAAUUACUGGGCGUAAAGCGCACGUAGGCGGCUUUGUAAGUUAGAGGUGAAAGCCUGGAGCUUAACUCCAGAACUACCUUUAAGACUGCAUCGCUUGAAUCCAGGAGAGGUGAGUGGAAUUCCGAGUGUAGAGGUGAAAUUCGUAGAUAUUCGGAAGAACACCAGUGGCGAAGGCGACUCACUGGCCCAAUACUGACGCUGAGGCGCGAAAGCGUGGGGAGCAAACAGGAUUAGAUACCCUUGUAGUCC
Molecule: ribosomal RNA, 425 nt
Filed under: uncultured bacterium
Lineage: Bacteria
Description: partial 16S ribosomal RNA
Rfam family: Bacterial small subunit ribosomal RNA
Source: RNAcentral